Molecule: ribosomal RNA, 1372 nt
Filed under: uncultured bacterium
Lineage: Bacteria
Description: bacterial SSU rRNA
Rfam family: Bacterial small subunit ribosomal RNA
Source: RNAcentral
GAUGAACGCUGGCGGCGUGCCUAAUACAUGCAAGUCGAGCGAACGGACGAGAAGCUUGCUUCUCUGAUGUUAGCGGCGGACGGGUGAGUAACACGUGGAUAACCUACCUAUAAGACUGGGAUAACUUCGGGAAACCGGAGCUAAUACCGGAUAAUAUUUUGAACCGCAUGGUUCAAAAGUGAAAGACGGUCUUGCUGUCACUUAUAGAUGGAUCCGCGCUGCAUUAGCUAGUUGGUAAGGUAACGGCUUACCAAGGCAACGAUGCAUAGCCGACCUGAGAGGGUGAUCGGCCACACUGGAACUGAGACACGGUCCAGACUCCUACGGGAGGCAGCAGUAGGGAAUCUUCCGCAAUGGGCGAAAGCCUGACGGAGCAACGCCGCGUGAGUGAUGAAGGUCUUCGGAUCGUAAAACUCUGUUAUUAGGGAAGAACAUAUGUGUAAGUAACUGUGCACACCUUGACGGUACCUAAUCAGAAAGCCACGGCUAACUACGUGCCAGCAGCCGCGGUAAUACGUAGGUGGCAAGCGUUAUCCGGAAUUAUUGGGCGUAAAGCGCGCGUAGGCGGUUUUUUAAGUCUGAUGUGAAAGCCCACGGCUCAACCGUGGAGGGUCAUUGGAAACUGGAAAACUUGAGUGCAGAAGAGGAAAGUGGAAUUCCAUGUGUAGCGGUGAAAUGCGCAGAGAUAUGGAGGAACACCAGUGGCGAAGGCGACUUUCUGGUCUGUAACUGACGCUGAUGUGCGAAAGCGUGGGGAUCAAACAGGAUUAGAUACCCUGGUAGCCCACGCCGUAAACGAUGAGUGCUAAGUGUUAGGGGGUUUCCGCCCCUUAGUGCUGCAGCUAACGCAUUAAGCACUCCGCCUGGGGAGUACGACCGCAAGGUUGAAACUCAAAGGAAUUGACGGGGACCCGCACAAGCGGUGGAGCAUGUGGUUUAAUUCGAAGCAACGCGAAGAACCUUACCAAAUCUUGACAUCCUUUGACAACUCUAGAGAUAGAGCUUUCCCCUUCGGGGGACAAAGUGACAGGUGGUGCAUGGUUGUCGUCAGCUCGUGUCGUGAGAUGUUGGGUUAAGUCCCGCAACGAGCGCAACCCUUAAGCUUAGUUGCCAUCAUUAAGUUGGGCACUCUAAGUUGACUGCCGGUGACAAACCGGAGGAAGGUGGGGAUGACGUCAAAUCAUCAUGCCCCUUAUGAUUUGGGCUACACACGUGCUACAAUGGACAAUACAAAGGGCAGCGAAACCGCGAGGUCAAGCAAAUCCCAUAAAGUUGUUCUCAGUUCGGAUUGUAGUCUGCAACUCGACUACAUGAAGCUGGAAUCGCUAGUAAUCGUAGAUCAGCAUGCUACGGUGAAUACGUUCCCGGGUCU